GUGGGGAAUCUUGCGCAAUGGGCGAAAGCCUGACGCAGCCAUGCCGCGUGAAUGAUGAAGGUCUUAGGAUUGUAAAAUUCUUUCACCGGGGACGAUAAUGACUGUAGCCGGAGAAGAAGCCCCGGCUAACUUCGUGCCAGCAGCCGCGGUAAUACGAAGGGGGCUAGCGUUGCUCGGAAUUACUGGGCGUAAAGGGAGCGUAGGCGGACAUUUAAGUCAGGGGUGAAAUCCCGAGGCUCAACCUCGGAACUGCCUUUGAUACUGGGUGUCUUGAGUGUGAGAGAGGUGAGUGGAACUCCGAGUGUAGAGGUGAAAUUCGUAGAUAUUCGGAAGAACACCAGUGGCGAAGGCGACUCACUGGCUCAUUACUGACGCUGAGGCUCGAAAGCGUGGGGAGCAAACAGGAUUAGAAACCCGAGUAGUCC
RNAcentral lists this ribosomal RNA (425 nucleotides) under uncultured bacterium. Its description in RNAcentral is "partial 16S ribosomal RNA". It matches the Rfam family "Bacterial small subunit ribosomal RNA", at positions 354 to 796 of the family's 1533-position model. The record is from RNAcentral.